This 197-nucleotide microRNA precursor is filed under the name Oryza brachyantha (malo sina). Its description in RNAcentral is "MIR812 microRNA precursor family". It matches the Rfam family "MIR812 microRNA precursor family", at positions 27 to 205 of the family's 205-position model. The record is from Rfam by way of RNAcentral. Lineage: Eukaryota; Viridiplantae; Streptophyta; Magnoliopsida; Poales; Poaceae.
UUUAGUUUUUAGAUAUAAAGUUUUGACUCUUCGUCUUAUAUGAAAUAUUUUUGUGAUUAAUAAUUUUAUUGUUAUUAGAUGGUAAAAUAUGAGUAGUAAUUUAUGCGUGACUAAUUUUUUAAAGUUUUUUUAAUAAAUUUUUUAAAUAAGAUAAAUGGUCAAAGCGUUGGACAUAGAAAUCGAAAAAUGAAAUUAUU